CUUGGAGCCAACUUGGCAGAAAAGUGAUGUGCUGCAGAAGAUUGAGGGUGGUUUCGAACCCAGACUCGAUCCUUCGGUUUGUCUUUGAGGUGAUUUACAACAUCAUAACAAGAGUCAUCUGGGGACAAAUCUGUGCCAGACAGUACUUUAUCCAUCGGACUCUGCAGUUUUCUUCUGAGCUGUAGUUCUGCCGGAGUGAGGCCAGUGGUCUCAUGGACCGAGGAAUUAAGGGCAAAGCGGAACUCCGGAAGAUCCCUAGGUGACCACUCAGAGGGCUGGCAUGGUAUGCUUGGAACAAGGUAUCUAUGAGUGACUCAGAGAACAUCGGCAGACAAUAGGAAACAGUCAGGCUCAGUUUGCACUGUGGCUAGACAACCCGCAGAAGGUGGAACACGGGACAGGGCAUCAGGGACCACAUUGAGUUUUCCCUUCCUGUAUUCAACAAUGAAGUCAAACUUCUGCAGUCUGAGCGCCCACCACAGCAGCUGACUAGAGGUCUUGGUGGAUGAAAGGACCCAUUG
Molecule: long non-coding RNA, 521 nt
Organism: Neoarius graeffei (lesser salmon catfish)
Lineage: Eukaryota; Metazoa; Chordata; Actinopteri; Siluriformes; Ariidae
Exons: 4
Source: RefSeq, a predicted model, not a curated record